CUGUCGAAAUCCGGAUGGACCGUCACACUCUCCGCUUGUAUUUCGUAGCUUCCCUCUUCAUUUACGGACCUAUCGUGAUCUCCCAAGUACACGGUGCUGGUAGUGAAUCUGCAGAACAGACCGGCUCAUAACUCCAGAAGAUGCCCGGCCGUUAUCACCCAACGAUGCUUGAUGAGGGAACCGCCACACCUACCUCCCCAGCCCAUUUUGAUGCCAACCUGAAGUAUUUUUUUAACUUGAUUGUAUGUUUGUUGUUGUUCUCCCUCUCUUUUUCGUGUGAAUGCAUUUAUUUCUGUCCCCAUUACACGUGUGUACCUAAGAAUGUUGAGUAUGUUACUCUGUGAAUGGUAUUAGUAUCCGGUCAUGAGCGUAAAUGAUGGCAUCUGAUGAUUAAUCUGUUUGUACAUAACCAUGAAUGUGACACAAGCUAGCAUGACAAUAUGCUCCAUAAUAAAGACAUUUCAGGAA
Long non-coding RNA from Penaeus monodon (black tiger shrimp), 468 nucleotides. RefSeq lists it as uncharacterized. NCBI's taxonomy places the organism in Eukaryota, Metazoa, Arthropoda, Malacostraca, Decapoda, Penaeidae. The transcript is spliced from 2 exons. The record is from RefSeq and is a predicted model, not a curated record.